Molecule: ribosomal RNA, 645 nt
Filed under: fungal sp. QLF36
Lineage: Eukaryota; Fungi
Description: eukaryotic LSU rRNA
Rfam family: 5.8S ribosomal RNA (bases 161-314)
Source: RNAcentral
GGGGAAUAGGAGUUCACUCCCAACCCAUGUGAACAUACCUACUGUUGCUUCGGCGGGAUUGCCCCGGGCGCCUCGUGUGCCCCGGAUCAGGCGCCCGCCUAGGAAACUUAACUCUUGUUUUAUUUUGGAAUCUUCUGAGUAGUUUUUACAAAUAAAUAAAAACUUUCAACAACGGAUCUCUUGGUUCUGGCAUCGAUGAAGAACGCAGCGAAAUGCGAUAAGUAAUGUGAAUUGCAGAAUUCAGUGAAUCAUCGAAUCUUUGAACGCACAUUGCGCCCGCCAGUAUUCUGGCGGGCAUGCCUGUCUGAGCGUCAUUUCAACCCUCAUGCCCCUAGGGCGUGGUGUUGGGGAUCGGCCAAAGCCCGCGAGGGACGGCCGGCCCCUAAAUCUAGUGGCGGACCCGUCGUGGCCUCCUCUGCGAAGUAGUGAUAUUCCGCAUCGGAGAGCGACGAGCCCCUGCCGUUAAACCCCCAACUUUCCAAGGUUGACCUCAGAUCAGGUAGGAAUACCCGCUGAACUUAAGCAUAUCAAAAGGCGGAGGAAACAACAGGAGCGGACAACUCUAUACCGUGGGGGCCUACCCUCGGGUGCUCUUGGCCGAUUGCCUGGCGCUCCCCUACGGGAUGAGACCGCAAAUGAACUUAA